This 73-nucleotide transfer RNA is filed under the name Ovis aries (sheep). It matches the Rfam family "tRNA". Rfam says of the family: Transfer RNA (tRNA) molecules are approximately 80 nucleotides in length. Their secondary structure includes four short double-helical elements and three loops (D, anti-codon, and T loops). The record is from Rfam by way of RNAcentral. Lineage: Eukaryota; Metazoa; Chordata; Mammalia; Artiodactyla; Bovidae.
UCCCUGAUGGUCCAGUGGUUAGGGCUCUGCACUGCCACUGAAGGAGACCAGGAUUCAAUCCCUGGUGAGGGAA